UACGAAGGGGGCUAGCGUUGCUCGGAAUCACUGGGCGUAAAGGGCGCGUAGGCGGACUUUUAAGUCGGAGGUGAAAGCCCAGGGCUCAACCCUGGAAUUGCCUUCGAUACUGGGAGUCUUGAGUUCGGAAGAGGUUGGUGGAACUGCGAGUGUAGAGGUGAAAUUCGUAGAUAUUCGCAAGAACACCGGUGGCGAAGGCGGCCAACUGGUCCGAAACUGACGCUGAGGCGCG
RNAcentral lists this ribosomal RNA (232 nucleotides) under uncultured bacterium. RNAcentral describes it as "partial 16S ribosomal RNA". It matches the Rfam family "Bacterial small subunit ribosomal RNA", at positions 524 to 755 of the family's 1533-position model. The record is from RNAcentral.